RNAcentral lists this ribosomal RNA (376 nucleotides) under uncultured microorganism. Its description in RNAcentral is "bacterial SSU rRNA". It matches the Rfam family "Archaeal small subunit ribosomal RNA", at positions 330 to 709 of the family's 1478-position model. The record is from RNAcentral.
GCGCAGCAAGCGCGAAACUUCACACUGCGCGAAAGCGCGAUGAGGGAAUCCCAAGUGCUUACACGUAAGUGUAAGCUGUUUCCCUGUCUAAAAGCAGAGAGAGUAAGGGCUGGGUAAGACGGGUGCCAGCCGCCGCGGUAAUACCUGCAGCUCAAGUGGUGGCCGCUAUUAUUGGGCCUAAAACGUCCGUAGCCGGUCUAGUAAAUGCCUGGGUAAAUCGUGAGGCUUAACCUUACGAAUUCCGGGUAGACUGCUAGACUUGAGACCGGGAGAGGCUAGAGGUACUCCUGGGGUAGAGGUGAAAUUCUGUAAUCCUAGGGGGACCACCAGUGGCGAAGGCGUCUAGCUAGAACGGGUCUGACGGUGAGGGACGAAG